This 445-nucleotide ribosomal RNA is filed under the name uncultured bacterium. RNAcentral describes it as "partial 16S ribosomal RNA". It matches the Rfam family "Bacterial small subunit ribosomal RNA", at positions 354 to 796 of the family's 1533-position model. The record is from RNAcentral.
GUGAGGAAUAUUGGUCAAUGGGCGGAAGCCUGAACCAGCCAUCCCGUGUGGAGGAAGACGGCCCUAUGGGUUGUAAACUGCUUUUCCGGGGGGAGAAUUUUUCCGUCGUGACGGGAAUUGACGGUACCCCGGGAAUAAGCAUCGGCUAACUCCGUGCCAGCAGCCGCGGUAAUACGGAGGAUGCGAGCGUUAUCCGGAUUUAUUGGGUUUAAAGGGUGCGUAGGCGGAAUGAUAAGUCAGUGGUGAAAACCUGCAGCUUAACUGUAGACUUGCCGUUGAUACUGUCAGUCUUGAGUGUGGUCAAGGUAGGCGGAAUGUGUAAUGUAGCGGUGAAAUGCUUAGAUAUUACACAGAACACCGAUUGCGAAGGCAGCUUACUGGGCCAUUACUGACGCUGAUGCACGAAAGCGUGGGGAUCGAACAGGAUUAGAAACCCUGGUAGUCC